Long non-coding RNA from Sander lucioperca (pikeperch), 734 nucleotides. RefSeq lists it as uncharacterized. The record is from RefSeq and is a predicted model, not a curated record. The transcript has 4 exons. Lineage: Eukaryota; Metazoa; Chordata; Actinopteri; Perciformes; Percidae.
AACUAGCUAGCAUCACAUAACCUUAGCAGUAACGUUAGUUUGUUUCGAGUUUUAGAUGCAAAGUUAAUGAAAGAAAGGAAGAUGUACUUUUUCUGCAAAUGAUGAGCAGCUUUUGCGAGUCAUGUCAGGGGAUUUGUGUGUGUCCUCCUUCAUCGCCCCAUUACACACCCCUGGGGGGCGCCUGCGCCUCCCUCACCUCCGAGAGUCUCCCCCAGCGCUGCUCUGAUGUGCUCUGCUGCCUCUUGAAGAAUCUCCCCGGCAACUGUCGUCACCACGGACGAUGCCCCAUCAUCCCCUGCGUCCUGCUGCCCGUCAUGAUGGACCACUCGCAGGAUGCUGGACUCCAAGAUACCUCACCGUCUCCCCGGGCAACUUAACGUCACAUCGCCGGCGGCACAGCACUGGCACACACACCCUACCUGACGUUUCCUUCUGGAGCACACAGACACACAUAAUUACAUGUACAAAUGGUUUGCUGGUGACUGAACAGCUUUCCCUUGUGGACAAUCUGCAGCCGGCCAGACGCUAUCAAAUGAAAGUGCAUUGUGAGUAAGAUACAAGCCAGCUCCAUGCUAUCCAUCUAAAUACAAAGACGACUAAAUGUUAACUGUGAUUGAUUGACUAUUGACAAAAUGGCUUCAACGGCUGCCUUGAAAGUAGAAAAACAAUCUUAUGGUGUGCACAUUUGUUUUGUCAAAUAUACAAUGGAGGCCGGUGAUUUUGAUGGAGCUGAA